GGCUACGGCCAUGCCACCCUGAACGCACUGAUCUCAUCAGAUCCUUGAAACUUAAGAGGGUCGGGCCUAGAGUACUUGAUGAACGACAGAUCUUCAGAAGAGACUGCUCGAAGACA
Molecule: ribosomal RNA, 116 nt
Filed under: Castor canadensis (American beaver)
Lineage: Eukaryota; Metazoa; Chordata; Mammalia; Rodentia; Castoridae
Source: RNAcentral